This is a long non-coding RNA of Physeter macrocephalus (sperm whale), 5176 nucleotides long. RefSeq lists it as uncharacterized. The record is from RefSeq and is a predicted model, not a curated record. The transcript has 2 exons. NCBI's taxonomy places the organism in Eukaryota, Metazoa, Chordata, Mammalia, Artiodactyla, Physeteridae.
GAUGGAACCUUAUGUUUUUGGUCAAGUGGAACAAAAAGCCGGGUAAUACUAAUAAUACACAUUGUGCUACCUUAAAUUUCUUUAUUUUUAAAAUAAUAUUUCCCUUAGCGCAAAAUAGUCAACAUUCAGUGUAGAAAAUAGAAAAAAAUACAGGUCAGUAAAAUGAAGGUAAGAAAUUGCCUGUAUUCCCAUCACCAAGAUUUGUUUUUUAAAGCGACUUACUGUUCUUCUCUCUCUGGUAACAUUCCUUUGGGGUGGGGUAAGUUAAAGGAUGAUACACCUUUUCCCUGUUUUGGUGAUGUAGCAUCCAAAAUGCAUGGGAGAGCAUCCAGUAAUAAUUUGAGAAGAUGAUUAGUUUUGUGUUAUCUAUGCUUUUCUUUUCUGGGCUGGAGAGCUGCUGUAAUUGAAAUCAUCAAUUUACUAAUCACCCAAGUGCUAGAUUUACAGGAUGAUUAUUUAAUCAAGUUCAUCUGCACCUUGCACUGGAGGGGCUUAAGUGACCUCUGAUAAUAAUAAAUUAUAGUGCCAAAAUGUACCUUGACUUCAUUAUGAAUAUAUGGUCCAGAUGAGAAUCUGGUGAAAUCAUCUGUGAUGUGUUUAGAACGGACAAUCCCAAACCUAGGAAAAUAUGUAUUCAGUUUAAUAAAUAAUGGAGUUAAUAAGAACAAUAGUAAAAUCUUCAAACCUUUCAUUGGGCUAAAUAACUUAAUAAAGGUUUAUUUAAUGAGUGUGUUUUUGGAAAAGUAAGGUUAUAUAAAACUUACUGAGCAUUUAAAAUGAGAUUAUUUUAUUCAUGUCAUGAUCUUUUAAUCUAGAUUGUAAUUGGGCAGAUAGUCUCACUUAGACAAUAAUACUUAGAUUAUAAGAUAAGACAACAAAUAUCCUGGAUGACUGAGAAACCACAGAAAAUGCCAGACUAGCCUGACAAUAUCAGGAAUGGAAUUGAUUGUUUUGAGCCAAGACUGACCUCAAGUCUAAGAGACAGUGUUGCAAAUGGCAACAGUCAUUUCAGAUCGCAGAGAUGAUUCCUAAUCAAAGGUCUGGCUUUAUAUGUGCUCCCUGGAGAAAAGACUAACAGUCCCUAAUUUAUCUUUUCAGACAAGAUCUUCUGUCAGCUAGUGUCAUCUUUGAAAAUGAAGGAUGACAACAGUGCUUUAUUCAAAAUGCUUUCACUCAUCAGUUUUUGAGCAUACCAGAGUGAGAUGAAAACACAUUUAUUGUCUUAUACCUAGCUCCAUCUGUUAUCAUAUAGUGUCACUGUGCAGACUGUAGCCCAGCAUAUGUUUUGUUGAUAGCAUGACACUUGCAAUAUAGUUUUUUGAGGCAGGAACAGGCCUAUGUAGGUGAUUGAGUCCAGGGUUCUUGAUACAACAAUGUCUCUUCUUAAAUUGUGAGCCAGCUUCAAGUUUGAGCAAGUUCUGUGUGGUGUCGCAUCUUUACCAUUAUGCUCUACUUCUCUAUCUGACACUUUUAACCAGGCAAAUGACGUAAGCGUAUGCAUUUUAGUUUUAUCAUCUUUAUAAAAGAUUAACCAGCUCCUGCAAAAUGUUCCCAGUUUUUUUCCGUCAUUAAUGUAAACAGCUGUAGGAAGGAAACUGAAUAAAAUUGGUCUCACAUGUAGAGGGCCACUGUCUUAGUCAAAUUGGCAAAUGAGUAAUGUCUAAAGCUAUUUUUAAAGAUUUCUUAUUCUGAGUUAUUUCUGAGUUUAUUUCAUUUUGCAGCUUUUGUGAUCUAAAUUACUUUUAAUCUGUUUGGUUACCUACAAGAAUGAUUAAGUAGACUUUAAUAUCUCAAGGAAACUAUGUUUAUAUUUUUUGUUAACUAAGGUACUGAAAUCAGAAAAUAUUAAUAACAAUAAUUGCUCAUUUUUAUAAUAAUGGGUUAAGUUGCCUGUGUAGUUUUUGUUUGGUUUAUAUAAGCAGAAUACACAAUUGAAGGUGGUGUGAGUCUUGAAAUAAAAUAUCUAAUCAGCUGGAUUUCUGAAAAUGUUAUAGGGAGUCUCCUGACCAAGAUCUUUUAGAACAAAGCACACUAUAUGCAGUGGGUUUUUUUGCUAUCAAAUAAAAUUGAACUGAUGUGCACAGGUAUCUGUAAUUGGAGGUCCGUAAAGUUUGUGGUUGUGCUUGCUUACUAUUUAUUUGAAAAAAUAGGUGAUGGAUUCUGAGUCCUGUAGCUUGAGUCAUAGAGCUCUGAAGUCUAUCAGUCCCAGAUUUAGAUUGAAGAUCAAACUUUGACAAAUAAAGGUGAUUUGGGAAAUGUUUGUCCUUAAUAUUUAGAAGAGUACCUUGUCCAAAUUAGAGAUAGUAAGACUCAAGUAAGUCAGAAGAACUGUGAUUGUUGUAAGUUGGUUUCUCUUAAUUGAAAGGGAAAAUAUAUUAAUGUUCUGAGCAUUACUGCUGAUAAUUCCUCCCAUUCAGUUCUUACCACUCUUGAAUUUGAGUCACCAGUCGGUUGCCCAACACCUGUUUAUCUGCAUGGCUCCCAGGAUUGUUUCCUCACCUUUCACCCUCCCACUGGCAGUAAUCUUACUGUAAGUUUGGAAGCAAUGCCAGAUUCCUUAUGCACUGCUUUCGUGGCUGGUUUCCUUACUGACCUGCGGAACCUGCCAUCAACUGCUUUGAAGGACUUCAUUUACUGUGCAGCAGAAGUAUACUAGAAACCCAGAUAAAACUCAGAGGAAAUUUGCACAGAUGCUGCUUUGGAGAACUUUACAACCUGGGUUGCAGAACUGAGCCUUGGUAAACCUGUCUCUAUUACAGCAUGUUGCCAUACAUCUAAUUAAGUGCAUAAGGUCUUUGGCCUUCAAGAUCCAUUGACCUUAAACAGGAAUGCUUAGCACGUUUACCAUAUGUUUAAAAUCUGUUCUUUAUCAAUCAGUCCUUUUGUAGCUUUCUAAGUUCUUAUUGAUGGCUAAUAUGCAAGAAUUAAUUUUUAAUAUUUUAAUUGAUUUCUUUAAUCAGUUUCUCAACUUGUAUUUAUUAAAUACUCAAACUCAGUAUUACCUACUCAAUGCCUUUUAAAAGAACGUUAUAAUGGAGAAAAAUUGAGCCUUAAACAAAUGGUUACUUCUGUAUAUUACCUCGCACCAGUGCUUCAUUCUAUUUGUAAAAUCUUUCUCCUUUAAAUGGUUGGUUAAUACUUUGAGCCUUUGUUUACGUGUGGCAGUGUUGUAAAAAGAAACUGAAGAUCACAUUUUACCUGUAUGGAUGGAAUAUCCCUUUUCUUCAAGUGCAGUUUGUGAUGUGUUUUUGUAAUUAAAAUGUUCUGAAAGUUACAAUUGAUAUUUGAAAUUGACUGUACAGCAUUUAGCUGAAGAGUUAAGCAUUUGAUUCCAUUAGGUUUUCACAUGUGUUAAUCUCAUUUACAGCAUCAAAUUGCAGCAGUAACAUUUUCCUUUCUGUGAAGUUCUAAAUUUAGUUAUGACCUACUUAGCAAUGCCUUUGAAGAGGGAUAUUGUAUCCAUGGUAAAUUAAUUGUAUACCUAAACAGAGAUAGCUCAGCUUUGCCUGUCAGGCUUGUAAUUGACAUCUAGUAGACUUCUGCACAUGUAAAAUUAAAUUCAAAUAAAAUCAUAUACAGUUUCUAGUUCUUAAUAUUUGUCUUUCCGAGUAAUAGUUUAAAGCAAUAUUUGUUAAAGUUUUCUUGCACUAUCACAAUUGCUUUUUAGUUAUUUCUCAAGAAGCAUGUUUGUAGUAGAGACAAAAAUCUGUGUAACAGGAGGGAGGAUAGCGCCAAGUCUCUGGGCGUUUUGUUUUUGUUUUUGUUUUUUUGCAAAUGUGCUUCUAAUAGCCAUUGCCUUCCAUGUUGUUUACCUAAUCAGCACAUUUUGUCUGAAUACUUGAACAUUUUAACAGUAACACAGGUAUAGAAGCAGAAAGAAAACUUAUAAAGAGUAAUCUUGUGGUUCAGUUUUAACAUCAUGACGAGCGCUUUUUCUAGCAAUGAUUUAAAAAUUUUGUAAGUUUGACAGUAUUUUGUUGUUGGGUUUUUAUUUGGUUUUAAUUGUGUGCUUUUAAUUUGCAGAAGUUAAUAACUGCAGCUCACCUACUGCACCAAAGUUCUCGAUUUUAGGAGCCCAGCUUUAGUCAUUUGAACAUGCUUCUAAAUAAAACAAAACAAAAAAAAACCAAAACUAUACUUUUGCUCUAUAAUAAUAGCUCAAUAACUUUGUCAAGGAAAGCUCUAAUAUAUGCAGUGAUGGUUUUUGGAAGGGUGUGGCAAUUUUAAAUUUAUAUUGUGUGUGAUGUUCAAAUAAAGUGUUAUCUACAUUCAUGUGAUUUAUUGGUCAGCGUGACCAUUAAUUAUUGCGUAGAAAUUAAUUAAACUUUGAUUUCCUUUUUUAAAAUCGUGUUGCAUUUGAUUCCUGAUCAAAUUCCCUCAAAGUGAACUCUUGAUUUUAGAUUUUGAAUUUUAUGGUGAGAUUGUAAGGGUGGAGGCAAUUGAAACUUUGUUUCUUAUUUAUAAACUGCUUGAAAUGAAUACCUAAUUUAAGUUUGCACUUUAACACCAAACUUAAAACCAAACACUCAGUUCAAAGUAGGUUAAGUGAUUGUGGUUCAUCUUUAUUAGCUUUGUGAAAUUCUAAAGGAAUCAAAUAAUUCAUAAUGAUUUAAGUUUUCUGCAGAUGGAUUUUUUUUAAUACAGUGUUUCUUUCCUAUGGAUAGUUCCCAUUCUCUUGCUCUCUCUCGCUCUCUCUCGCUCUCUCUGUCGCUGACCUCAGCAGCAAGUUUAACUUGAAUUCACUUAGGAUCACAGGAAUCAGGGGAAAGUGAUUUAAAGGUGGUUUCUCCAGCACAUUUUAAGAAAAGGGACCAAAAGUUAUUUUAGCUUCCUCAAUAGAUUGCAUGUCAAGUUGCUUAUUAGGAUAAUAAAUUAAUAUUAAAUGCAAUAUAUGUCUCAUCUUUACUGUGGCAUCUGUUUAGGAGUUGUUCAAAUCACUGCAGUAGGGCUCUGCAAAUAAAAUCAUGUAACCUAUUAUCAUGGAUCUAAUGUACUGUAACUUUAUCAAUGAAAGGUAAAAAGUCUCGAAUAACAAGUACAAACAUUGAACAAUGACCUAUAAAGAUUUGUAAAAGUAAAAUUUUUCCAAUAGAUUUCAUUCUUGUCAUUUUGUAAGACGACCCUGCAGUCCACCUGUUUGUAACUUUUUUAAUAAAAUAGACAUCUGUAUUACUGA